This 1161-nucleotide ribosomal RNA is filed under the name Triticum aestivum (bread wheat). Its description in RNAcentral is "partial small subunit ribosomal RNA". The record is from RNAcentral. Lineage: Eukaryota; Viridiplantae; Streptophyta; Magnoliopsida; Poales; Poaceae.
GUGUCCGAGGUGCUUGGCGACGACAACCUCCUCAUCGAGAUCCUCGUCCGCCUCCCUCCGAAGCAGUCCUCGCUCUCCCGUUCGUCCGUCGUAUCCAAGCACUGGGGCAGCAUCCUCUACGACCCCCAGUUCCGCAAAUCCUUCCUCAAGCACCACCGGAAGCCUCCUCUGCUUGGGUUCUUCAGAGGGUAUGCUAAAAGCUUCAUUCCUGCCAUGGACUCGCCUUACCGUAUCCCUACUGCCCGCUUCUCCCUGCCCAAGAGCACCAUAGCCUACAACACUGAUGAAGCAUACAUGGGCUGCUGCCAUGGUCUCUCUGUCCUAAUUGACACGAAUAAGCAUGACACCGUCGUGUGGGAUCCCCUCACCGGCAAAGAGCACAUCUUGGCUUUUCCACCAGUAUUCCACUCUAUGAGGACAAACUCAACCUGGCAUGGCGUUGUACUGUGCGUUGAUGCCGAAGAUGGGCACGUCCAUGCAGAUUGCUUCUCAAGCCCAUUUAAAUUGGUUUAGGUCUGCGAUGGAUUCAGUUCACAGGCAUCUUGUUCUCUCUAUGACUCGGCAUCUAGCAUUUGGGGCAAUAUUUUCUCGGUGACCAUAGCAAAUAAGAUUUCUGCGACAAGCCACAGCAUCCUUGUCGGGAAUACACUUUGCUGGUUGAUUUGUGGUGGUGAAGUUCUUGUUUUUGAUUUCGAAAUGCAAAGUCUUGUUGUGAUCAAGACAUCGGUGGAAAACCAUGUUACCAACGACGUGUUUCAGCUCUUGCGGAUGGCCGAUGGUGGCCUUGGCCUUGCUGGUUUGUUGGACCUGACGAUCCAAUUAUGGAGGAAAUCUAACUGUGAUGGUAUUGACGAAUGGGUGUUGCUGCGCAAAACCAUUCCACUGGAUGAGAUGCUUCCAAGGAGAAUAAGUUAUGGAUUUUUUGUUGGGUAUGAUGAGGACACAAAUUUGGUUGUUCUAUAUACGAUGAUUGGCAACUUCACGCUCCAAAUUGACUCGAUGCAGAUCAAGCAUAUUGUUAAAAGAAACUAGAUAUGUCAUGACACCUUUCAUACCUACAGGAAUAUCUAUACUACAGGUAAUUGCUUUGAUGCCUGGCCAUUGCUAAAGGCUAAAUACAAUUACGUGCUUGUAAUGAUCUUUUCAUCAGAGGGUUUCUAG